UACGAAGGGGGCUAGCGUUGCUCGGAAUCACUGGGCGUAAAGCGCACGUAGGCGGAUUGCUAAGUCAGGGGUGAAAUCCUGGAGCUCAACUCCAGAACUGCCUUUGAUACUGGAGAGCUAGAGUCCGGAAGAGGUGAGUGGAACUGCGAGUGUAGAGGUGAAAUUCGUAGAUAUUCGCAAGAACACCAGUGGCGAAGGCGGCUCACUGGUCCGGUACUGACGCUGAGGUGCGAAAGCGUGGGGAGCAAACAGG
RNAcentral lists this ribosomal RNA (253 nucleotides) under uncultured bacterium. Its description in RNAcentral is "partial 16S ribosomal RNA". It matches the Rfam family "Bacterial small subunit ribosomal RNA", at positions 524 to 776 of the family's 1533-position model. The record is from RNAcentral.